RNAcentral lists this ribosomal RNA (425 nucleotides) under uncultured archaeon. Its description in RNAcentral is "partial 16S ribosomal RNA". It matches the Rfam family "Archaeal small subunit ribosomal RNA", at positions 323 to 746 of the family's 1478-position model. The record is from RNAcentral.
CUACGGGUGGCUCCAGUCGGGAAAAUUUUACAAUGCGCGAGAGCGUGAUAAAGCAAGCCUGAGUGCGUUUCCGUAUUUGGAAACGCUUUUGCCAGAUGCAAAAAGUCUGGCGAAUAAGGACCGGGCAAGACUGGUGCCAGCCGCCGCGGUAAUACCAGCGGUCCAAGUCGCAUCCACGUUUAUUGGGUCUAAAACAUCCGUAGCUUGCUUAGUAAGUCUCUUGUGAAAUCCGGCCUCUUAAGGGUCGGGCGUGCAAGAGAUACUGCUUUGCUUGAGACCGGGAGGCGUGAAGAGUACAGUUCGGGUAGCGGUUAAAUGCGUUGAUCCUUACUGGACUAACAAUCGCGAAGGCACUUCACGAGAACGGUUCUGACAGUCAGGGAUGAAGGCUAGGGUCGCAAAACGGAUUAGAUACCCCUGUAGUC